AAAAAGGUAAGCUAAAUUAAGCUCAUAGGUUCAUACCCUGUUUAUGAAAAACAUUUUUUCCCUUUUUA
Molecule: transfer RNA, 68 nt
Filed under: Tenebrionoidea sp. 19 KM-2017
Lineage: Eukaryota; Metazoa; Arthropoda; Insecta; Coleoptera
Description: tRNA-Met
Source: RNAcentral